UACGUAGGUGGCAAGCGUUGUCCGGAAUUACUGGGUGUAAAGGGAGCGCAGGCGGGAAGCCAAGUCAGCUGUGAAAACUACGGGCUUAACUUGUAGACUGCAGUUGAAACUGGUUUUCUUGAGUGAAGUAGAGGUUGGCGGAAUUCCGAGUGUAGCGGUGAAAUGCGUAGAUAUUCGGAGGAACACCGGUGGCGAAGGCGGCCAACUGGGCCUUAACUGACGCUGAGGCUCGAAAGUGUGGGGAGCAAACAGG
Molecule: ribosomal RNA, 253 nt
Filed under: uncultured bacterium
Lineage: Bacteria
Description: partial 16S ribosomal RNA
Rfam family: Bacterial small subunit ribosomal RNA
Source: RNAcentral